Heterocephalus glaber (naked mole-rat) is the source of this 692-nucleotide long non-coding RNA. NCBI's taxonomy places the organism in Eukaryota, Metazoa, Chordata, Mammalia, Rodentia, Bathyergidae. The record is from Ensembl.
AGCCCAGCACCGGUCCCCAAGCAGCUAUACACACAAUAAGCAUGUACAGAUGGGGACUCAUGUGAGCCUAAACCGGCAACCUGGCACACAGCAGGCAUGUGCCAUUUCACAGACAGAUCAGGCACAGAGAAAGGAAACAACUUUCAAAGAUCACUCAGCAAGCUGGCCAUCGAGCUGAUGGAGGCCUCCUAUGCUUAUCCACCAAGCCGGGUUGCCUAUUGGUGUGUCCAAGCAGAGGUCCUCAGGGAGACUGAGGCAACUCGGGGUGCAUUCCAGCUUGGAGUGAAGCAGAGCACGGAGACCAGAUCUUCUACCUCAUCUGGCCCUCAUCUUCCCUAAUAACCAGGGGAAGUGUGUUUCCUUUUAUGACUGAGUAUGGUGAUCAGCAGGAAGGCCUGGGACAGCUUCCCCUGUAUCCUGGCCUCGCAUAAUACCAUAUGUCAAGAACUGUAUACAGGCAAAGUAAUCAAUGACAAGAAUAGCCCAAGGAGAGAGCUGUCGGGAGCAAUGCUACAUAAUUUUAGGGUAAAAUCAUUUGGUUAGCCUAGUUCUCCUGCCUACAGCCCAGCUAUGGAAUUCCGAGACAUAAUUGCAUUUUGGCCUCCGGUCACAACUGAGACCUCAAUGAUCUGGUGAUGCUGUCUGUGAUUCUCCAGGACAAGAAGCAUCCUGGGAGCUGAGAACAUCCUGGG